AUGUCCUACGGGAGGCAGCAGUGAGGGAUAUUGGUCAAUGGGGGAAACCCUGAACCAGCAACGCCGCGUGAGGGAAGACGGUUUCCGGAUUGUAAACCUCUGUCCUCUGUGAAGAUAAUGACGGUAGCAGAGGAGGAAGCUCCGGCUAACUACGUGCCAGCAGCCGCGGUAAUACGUAGGGAGCAAGCGUUGUCCGGAUUUACUGGGUGCAAAGGGUGCGUAGGCGGCCCUGCAAGUCAGAAGUGAAAUCAAUGGGCUUAACCAGUGAACUGCUUUGGAAACUGUAGGGCU
RNAcentral lists this ribosomal RNA (291 nucleotides) under uncultured bacterium. Its description in RNAcentral is "partial 16S ribosomal RNA". It matches the Rfam family "Bacterial small subunit ribosomal RNA", at positions 334 to 642 of the family's 1533-position model. The record is from RNAcentral.